UAGUGUGAUGAAGAAGCGUAUGCAUCUGGACUUCGACAAGGAAAACCUCCUGUUUGGUAUUUAGUCGAGUGUCCGGUACAAGAAGGUGGACUUGCGUGUGGGUAUUACGUCAUGAGGUUCAUGCUCGAUAUCGUCAACUAUUGCAAAGAUGUUGGUGAUCUUCGAAAGGUUUAUGCGAAUUCCACACCACGUUUGAGGAACUUCACCAAAGAAGAAAUUGAUGAAGUUCGGGAUAAGUUGGCGUCCCACAUUACCGAUGAUUGCAUAGGAUGAGAUUUAGCCCGAAUGUAAAAGUUUCUAUCAAUCCUAUGUACACUUUUUACAUUAUUAAAUAUAUAUGAAGUUAAUUAUUACCUUUCUCCA
Beta vulgaris subsp. vulgaris (sugar beet) is the source of this 363-nucleotide long non-coding RNA. RefSeq lists it as uncharacterized. The transcript has 3 exons. NCBI's taxonomy places the organism in Eukaryota, Viridiplantae, Streptophyta, Magnoliopsida, Caryophyllales, Amaranthaceae. The record is from RefSeq and is a predicted model, not a curated record.